UUUCCCUUUGAGGAAAAAAGGAUUUUGGUAAUCGUGUGUAACAGACUCCUUUGUACCAUAAAAAUUCAUAGUCUUCUAUCUGACGUUUGUGUUAGAAAAUUCUAAAAUUUCUUUUGCAUUUCUAUGCUUCAUUUGAAUCAAGCAAUAUGUGAUAAAAUGUGCUGGCUCUUGGUCUGGCCAUUUCUUUAAGAAAGGCAACCUUAUCCACAGUUAUUUUUUCCCUGCCCCUCCCAGAUUAUUUUCCAGUGAAGUAAGGGAGUAAUCAUGGAAGAUCGCCAUAUGGUAACAGUGAGCCAUGUCAAACACACCCACCAAUGGAUAUUACUGUGAACUACAAGCAAUUUGUUCCUGUGUAGAGCUGCAAUAUUAACAAGAAGCUGGGCGGUCUGAUGAGUUUUCCUUCAUCUCUCAGGGCAACGGCGUAUGAAGAAAUGGGAAGAAAAUGUUUGCUGACUGCUGCUCUAGGACAUUCAUCAACACAGAUGACCAGGGCUCACACCAGUGUUCCUGAAAGCCAGUGAAGGUAGGUUACACCAGAAAAUCU
RNAcentral lists this long non-coding RNA (544 nucleotides) under Felis catus (domestic cat). RNAcentral describes it as "lncRNA (ENSFCAG00000047929.1)". Lineage: Eukaryota; Metazoa; Chordata; Mammalia; Carnivora; Felidae. The record is from RNAcentral.